CCUACGGGAGGCAGCAGUGAGGAAUAUUGGUCAAUGGACGAGAGUCUGAACCAGCCACGCAGCGUGAAGGAUGACUGCCCUAUGGGUUGUAAACUUCUUUUAUAUGGGAAUACAAUGUUCCACGCGUGCGAUUUUGUAUGUAUCAUAUGAAUAAGGAUCGGCUAACUCCGCGCCAGCAGCCGCCGUAAGACGGAGGAUCCGAGCGUUAUCCGGUUUUCUUGGGUUUAAAGGGAGCGUAGGUGGAUUGUUAAGUCAGUUGUGAAAGUUUGCGGAUCAACCGUAAAAUUGCAGUUGAAACUGGCAGGCUGGAGUGCAGUAGAGGUAAGCGGAAUUCGUGGUGUAGCGGUGAAAUGCGUAGAUAUCACGAAGAACUCCGGUUGCGAAGGCAGCUCACUGGACUGCAACUGACACUGAGGCUCGAAAGUGUGGGUAUCAAACAGGAUUAGAUACCCUGGUAGUC
This 460-nucleotide ribosomal RNA is filed under the name uncultured bacterium. Its description in RNAcentral is "partial 16S ribosomal RNA". It matches the Rfam family "Bacterial small subunit ribosomal RNA", at positions 338 to 795 of the family's 1533-position model. The record is from RNAcentral.